GAUGAACGCUGGCGGCGUGCCUAAUACAUGCAAGUCGAGCGAACGGACGAGAAGCUUUCUUCUCUGAUGUUAGCGGCGGACGGGUGAUUAACACGUGGAUAACCUACCUAUAAGACUGGGAUAACUUCGGGAAACCGUAUCUAAUACCGGAUAAUAUUUUGAACCUCAUGGUUCAAAAGUGAAAGACGUUCUUGCUGUCACUUAUAGAUAGAUCCGCGCUGCAUUAGCUAGUUGGUAAGGUAACGGCCUACCAAGGCAACGAUGCAUAGCCGACCUGAGAGGGUGAUCGGUCACACUGGAACUGAGACACGGUCCAGACUCCUACGGGAGGCAGCAGUAGGGAAUAUUCCGCAAUGGGCGAAAGCCUGACGGAGCAACGCCGCGUGAGUGAUGAAGGUCUUCGGAUCGUAAAACUCUGUUAGUAGGGAAGAACAUAUGUGUAAGUAACUGUGCAUAUCUUGACGUUACCUACAGAGAAAGCCCCGGCUAACUACGUG
RNAcentral lists this ribosomal RNA (497 nucleotides) under uncultured bacterium. Its description in RNAcentral is "partial 16S ribosomal RNA". It matches the Rfam family "Bacterial small subunit ribosomal RNA", at positions 28 to 507 of the family's 1533-position model. The record is from RNAcentral.